RNAcentral lists this long non-coding RNA (4629 nucleotides) under Sus scrofa (pig). RNAcentral's name for it is "lncRNA (ENSSSCG00000061035.1)". Lineage: Eukaryota; Metazoa; Chordata; Mammalia; Artiodactyla; Suidae. The record is from RNAcentral.
AUACAUUAUAUAUAUGUAACAGUUUAUCUUCUUAGUUUUCAGAGGGGAAAAGUCAAAUAAAAGAAUUUUCUUUAACUAGUAUUUUUUUAUUCAGGAAUUUUUCUUGAAUCUUUGUUACCAAUGAUUGCUUUUGUGGUAUAAAAUGAAUGAGGAGUUAGUGUGAUCAGUGGAAAAAACUGAAAAAUAGCCUCCACCUAGCAAAUAUUGAGAGCUUCCCUGGAAAAUAGUUUUCCAGAUUCCUCUGCAAUUUAUUUCCAACCUUCUUCCAUUUCAAGUCCAGUUUACCCUUGCUUCUGACCUUUAGUAUCACAUCUUGUUUGUGAUCCUCUUCUGCCCUUUGGACGAAAGUAAAUAUUUGGCUUUGCUAGUUUUGAUGCUCCUAAAGAUAUUGGUUCUGCCUUCCUUCUCUGGCCGUGGGCAGGAAGAAUCAGAGCUCAGUUUGGUCUCUCAGCCGUCCCAGCUAAUUCUGAAUUGUUCACAGAGAAACAAGACAUUAGACAGAGGAGACAUUAUUGGGCGUCUUGCCUUUGGGCAGGAUGAAUCAUUCCUAAGGAAAACUCCAUUCCUCAGGAACUAUUGGGUCAGCUCUGCUCCUGUGAUGGGGGCAUGGGCGGGGUGCUGUCUUGGCCCAAAGACCCUGUGAUGGAGAGAGUAGGUCUGUACUGGAAUUCUGUAUUAGAAACCAACAUCCUCCAGCCUGGCUGAGGGAUUAAAAUUCCAACACUACUGUCAUGUUCAUUGUGAUAGCCUCUAGGAAUACCAAUACCAAUAAGUCAUGGUUGCUUCACUCAAGAAACUCAUGGUUCAUAGAAGAGACCAGGCACACAAACGUAUAAUUACAAUAUAAAUUGGUAAGUGGUGACUGAGAUAAGAACUGGGUACUAGGGGAACACAGAAGACAUGUAGUCCAACUUGAGGGGUUCAAGGACAGCUCAAGAAGCAAGCUGAGCCUUCAACGAGAAUUAAAGUUUAGCCAUCAGGAGUUCCCAUUGUGAUGCAGCGUAAACAAAUCCGACUAGUAUCCAUGAGAUUGUGUGUUUGAUCCCUGGCCUUGCUCAGUGGGUUAAGGAUCCGGCAUUGCUGUGAGCCCUGGUGUAGGUCGCAGACGCAACUCAGAUCCUGCGUUGCUGCGGCUGUGGUAUAGGCCUGCGGCUACAGCUCUGAUUAGAUCCCUAGCCUGGGAACCUCUGUAUGCUACUCGUGCAGCCCUAAAAAGCAACAAAAACAAAAACAACACAAAGUUUAGCCGUCAAAGAAAUAAAUAACAAUAACAACAACCAAAAAACACUACCAUUUAUUGGCAAUGUGCCAUGUUCCAGGCAUAUGCUUUACAUGAAUUAUCUCAUUUAAUUCCCAUAACAAUCUGUGAAGUAGAUUACCACUCCCAUCUGAUCAAUGAGGACACUGAGAUUCAAAAAGUAAAUUUUUUUUAUCUCAUACUUGCUGUAAGUGAUGGGGAUGGAGGCAUGCAUCUUUUAGUAUUUUAAAUCAGGAUGCAGCAAACUUUUUCUGUAAAGAGACUGAUAGCUGCUUUGCUAUCAGUAGCUACUAAAUUGGACUUUUCAGCUACUCUUAACUCUGCUGUUACAGUGUGAAAACAGCCAGGGAACUUGCAGACAUCAGUAAGCAUGGCUGUGUUUAUGUUAAACUUUAUUUAUGGGCAGGAAAAUUUGAAUUUUAUAUGAUUUUUCUGUGUCACUAAACCUUCUUCUUCUUCUGAAUUUUUUCCCAAGUACUUAAAAAUUUAAUAGCCCUCCUUAGCCAUAUCGAUACAGGCCAUAUUCAAACAAGUGUUGGACCAAAUUUGGCCCUCAGACCAUCCAUUACCAAUCCCACUUUAAAUCAUUUUAAUACCUAAAUUCCUCUCUGAUUCUUGUUUGCAGGUGUCCUUCUCCUUUGUGAUAGUGGGGAGCUCUGUUGGUUUUAUUUCAUUUUUAUUAAAGUGCAAGUGACUGGAUUUUCUUUGAUGUUUUCUAAGGUAAAGAAUAAUUUCUCACCUUCCCAGAGUGCCAUUUAGCUGAAAGUAAGAGUGCCAUGGCUGAUGUUGGCACCAGUUAGAAUCCAUCAGUUUCUCUGCCCUGAUGUGACUCUGAAACACUUGGCAGAACUUUACUUCUUGUUCUUCCAGCCCGUUUUGCUUUUUCCCUCCCUAUUCCCGGGCACAUUCCUCUGAGUUAACAAGCUCAUUCCUUUAUGGAUCCAGAUGGGGACGCUGAUAAUGAGCAAAGUGAUGACUUCAGAAAAUGACCCUUCAUGGAGGUGUUGGGUGAGCCCUAGAACAUUCCCUCAUUUUAAAGAGGAGAAGUUAAAGGCUCUGGUCAACACUAGGGAAUGAAAGCCUUCUUGUAGAAAAGGCCCAAUUUAAGUAAAAUUGUUAAAAAAGUUCAAGUCCAUUGCUUGUAACAAUGGGGAAGGGGUAAAACAUCCUUUAUGAGCACCUCUAUUCUUUCUUAGGCUCUCUUAUGUCUGCUUAGAACUCCUACCUACUUGCAGGUGUUCAGUGUAUUCAAAACUCCCCUUGCUCAGCUACUCAGAUCAAGGGCAUUUUCAGAAUAGCCUUUGGUAUUUCAAAAUUAUAGGAUGAGAACUCUGUCCUUCCUGACACCCAGGAAUGGGUCCUUUGGAGCAGAACUCUGAAUGGCUUAUCCUAAUAUCCACUCUCCCCUUCUUCCUUAGUAAUAGAAUCCAAAAUUGUUACCCAGGCAAAUGACUAUCUGGAAAAAAAGACAAGAUUUUCCUUGCUUCCUUAUAGCCAGCUGUGAACAAAUGAAGGUGUUCUGAGCAAUGAUAUCCAAGGGGAACUGUUGUUCAGUAGCUUUCAAGAAACACACUUAAGUAUCUUGUAUGCACACUUGUUCUCCCUUCUUAUUGUCUCUUUCUCUUUGAAAUAAAGAUGCUAUGGCUGGAGCUUCAGCAGCCACUUUGAGCAUGAAUAUGAAGGCCACACACAAGGGAUGGUGGGUCAAGAGCUGGUUCCUAAUCUCAUAUGGCCACCAAAUUAGCUCUGGACUACCUCUGGGUUUUUUGUACAUAGGUAAAAAAUUAAAUGCUGCCUUUCUUAUUUAAGCAACCACUUUAUUGAGUUACUAUUGUAUGCAGCUAUCCCCAAGUUGAAAUGAUACAACAAUCAAUUUGCCAGACUCAUCUGGGCAGAAGUAUUGUCUCUGGAUUUUGGAGGCAUUUGGACUCAUAUUUUACCAGGCACCCAGUGGCAGGUAAAGGUCAUCAGUGGCACCUCUAAGACUAUUUUAAUAAUUUCCUGGAUCCCAUUCAUCAGAUCCAUAUCAAUUCUUGGAUCGGCUUUGAACUUGGAGGUCUUCCAUAUUGCUUAAGGCCAUAGGGUAGAAUAGAAGUCUAGAGCAGAAACUCAUGACUUGCCCACACGUGCUCAACCUCUCAGUAGUUGUGUGUCCUAGAGUAAGUUAACUUCCUUUCGCCUCAGUUCCUUAACACUGAAAUAGUGGUGUGAAUAGCAGCCACCUUAUAGGAUUAUUGUAAGGCUUAAAUCAGUUAAAUGUAAUUAUGGCAAUUAAACAUUGACUGGAACAAAGAAAUGCUAUCUAAGUGUGUUGUUAUCAUUAGUACUAUCAUUGUUAUUUAAUUAGGAGUUCCCAUAGUGGCUCAGCAGUAAGGAACCUGACUAGUAUCCACGAGGAUGCAGGUUAGAUCCUUGGCUUCACUCAGUGGGUUAAGGAUCCUGCAUUGCUGUGGCCAUGAUGUAGGCCAGCAGCUGUAGCUCUGAUUCAACCCCAAGACUGGGAACGUCCAUAUGCCAUGGGUGUGGCCCUAAAAUAAGUAAACAUUCGCUAUUAAAAACUUCCAAAUUGCAUAAAAUCAAUAAGGUAAAACUCAAAACGUUCCUUAAUGCGCUGGUCUCACUGUCAUUCGUUAUUAACUCUUGCACAUGCAUCCUUUCAGGUAUGUUCCAUGCAUGCAGAAACAUACAUAGACAUGCAGCAAGGAGAGGCAUAUCUGGAUACAUAAAUUCUGUUGUUUUAUAGAAAAAAUUAAUACUAUACCUACUUUCUACUUAUUGUUUUUUUGACUUGGGAUUAACCUUUUUAUUGAGUAUAAUUGACAUAUAACAUUGUAUUUGCUGCAGGUGUACAAUGUAAUGAUUUGAUAUAUGAAUACAUUGUGAAAUGAUUAUUACCACAUGAAGUUUAGUUAACAUCCAUCACCACACACAGUUAUAAAUUUAUUUUCUUUUUAAAAUUUUUAUUUAUUAAAUGUAUUGUCUUAUGAUGAGAACUUUUAAGAUUUACUCUCUUAGUGCAUUUAUGUGAGUAUAUCUGGGACAUAGAACAUAUGAAUUAUAUCGAUAGAGAUGAAAAGCUUUCCAAAAGUUUGUUUCAAUAUAUAGUUCACAAAUAAGGAAAACGAGUUCUGUCUCCUCACACUACCUUUAAGAUUGAGAAUUAUCAAACAUCUUAACUUUUUACCAACAUGAGAGAUAAAAAAACAAUGUUUAGGAGUUCCUGUCAUGGCUCAGUGGUUAACGAAUCCAACUAGGAACCAUGAGGUUACAGGAUCGAUCCCUGGCCUCGCUCAGCAGGUCAAGAAUCCAGCAUUGCCAUGAGCUGCUGUGUAGGUCACAGACUCGGCUCAGUUCCCAGGUUGCUGUGGCUG